This 1705-nucleotide ribosomal RNA is filed under the name Escherichia coli. RNAcentral describes it as "partial 23S ribosomal RNA". It matches the Rfam family "Bacterial large subunit ribosomal RNA", at positions 1 to 1746 of the family's 2925-position model. The record is from RNAcentral. Lineage: Bacteria; Pseudomonadati; Pseudomonadota; Gammaproteobacteria; Enterobacterales; Enterobacteriaceae.
GGUUAAGCGACUAAGCGUACACGGUGGAUGCCCUGGCAGUCAGAGGCGAUGAAGGACGUGCUAAUCUGCGAUAAGCGUCGGUAAGGUGAUAUGAACCGUUAUAACCGGCGAUUUCCGAAUGGGGAAACCCAGUGUGAUUCGUCACACUAUCAUUAACUGAAUCCAUAGGUUAAUGAGGCGAACCGGGGGAACUGAAACAUCUAAGUACCCCGAGGAAAAGAAAUCAACCGAGAUUCCCCCAGUAGCGGCGAGCGAACGGGGAGCAGCCCAGAGCCUGAAUCAGUGUGUGUGUUAGUGGAAGCGUCUGGAAAGGCGCGCGAUACAGGGUGACAGCCCCGUACACAAAAAUGCACAUGCUGUGAGCUCGAUGAGUAGGGCGGGACACGUGGUAUCCUGUCUGAAUAUGGGGGGACCAUCCUCCAAGGCUAAAUACUCCUGACUGACCGAUAGUGAACCAGUACCGUGAGGGAAAGGCGAAAAGAACCCCGGCGAGGGGAGUGAAAAAGAACCUGAAACCGUGUACGUACAAGCAGUGGGAGCACAGAGCAAUCUGUGUGACUGCGUACCUUUUGUAUAAUGGGUCAGCGACUUAUAUUCUGUAGCAAGGUUAACCGAAUAGGGGAGCCGAAGGGAAACCGAGUCUUAACUGGGCGUUAAGUUGCAGGGUAUAGACCCGAAACCCGGUGAUCUAGCCAUGGGCAGGUUGAAGGUUGGGUAACACUAACUGGAGGACCGAACCGACUAAUGUUGAAAAAUUAGCGGAUGACUUGUGGCUGGGGGUGAAAGGCCAAUCAAACCGGGAGAUAGCUGGUUCUCCCCGAAAGCUAUUUAGGUAGCGCCUCGUGAAUUCAUCUCCGGGGGUAGAGCACUGUUUCGGCAAGGGGGUCAUCCCGACUUACCAACCCGAUGCAAACUGCGAAUACCGGAGAAUGUUAUCACGGGAGACACACGGCGGGUGCUAACGUCCGUCGUGAAGAGGGAAACAACCCAGACCGCCAGCUAAGGUCCCAAAGUCAUGGUUAAGUGGGAAACGAUGUGGGAAGGCCCAGACAGCCAGGAUGUUGGCUUAGAAGCAGCCAUCAUUUAAAGAAAGCGUAAUAGCUCACUGGUCGAGUCGGCCUGCGCGGAAGAUGUAACGGGGCUAAACCAUGCACCGAAGCUGCGGCAGCGACGCUUAUGCGUUGUUGGGUAGGGGAGCGUUCUGUAAGCCUGUGAAGGUGUACUGUGAGGUAUGCUGGAGGUAUCAGAAGUGCGAAUGCUGACAUAAGUAACGAUAAAGCGGGUGAAAAGCCCGCUCGCCGGAAGACCAAGGGUUCCUGUCCAACGUUAAUCGGGGCAGGGUGAGUCGACCCCUAAGGCGAGGCCGAAAGGCGUAGUCGAUGGGAAACAGGUUAAUAUUCCUGUACUUGGUGUUACUGCGAAGGGGGGACGGAGAAGGCUAUGUUGGCCGGGCGACGGUUGUCCCGGUUUAAGCGUGUAGGCUGGUUUUCCAGGCAAAUCCGGAAAAUCAAGGCUGAGGCGUGAUGACGAGGCACUACGGUGCUGAAGCAACAAAUGCCCUGCUUCCAGGAAAAGCCUCUAAGCAUCAGGUAACAUCAAAUCGUACCCCAAACCGACACAGGUGGUCAGGUAGAGAAUACCAAGGCGCUUGAGAGAACUCGGGUGAAGGAACUAGGCAAAAUGGUGCCGUAACUUCGGGAGAAGG